Molecule: long non-coding RNA, 1206 nt
Organism: Folsomia candida
Lineage: Eukaryota; Metazoa; Arthropoda; Collembola; Entomobryomorpha; Isotomidae
Exons: 2
Source: RefSeq, a predicted model, not a curated record
UAGCGAUAAAGCUUUAAAUGAGGGAAAUGGGGACUUGAGUUACGAGGUCCCUUCAAACUACGGUUCAGCCAAAAUUAGUAAAUAGUCUGAAAAAAAUCUGAAAGGUUUCCUGGCAGAUUAUUCCAUAACAUUUCUAAAAAACCAAAAAACCUCUCAGAAAAAUUUCCAAUAAGGAAUUAAGAUUAUUAAUAUUGGCUGAACAGUAAUAUCCACUUGUGUAUGUGUACAUAGUCGGGUACGAAAUUCUUUGAUAAACGUUUUUUACUGCAGAAAAAUAACGGUACACACGCUUGAGAAAUCUGAUGGACGGCCGGUCGUUUGGAGCACGCGCGGUUUCUACCGGAAAAUGGUCACAAGCGUUGAGAAACAAAAUUUGAGAACUUCUGCACCCGUGGAAGUUUUAGAGCAGGCCAUGGUCUCAAUUUUAAGCCGCAAGUCAUAAUCCAGAUGAUUAAGGUCUGCUAUUACCAAUGGAAUUUUUUUGACCAAAUAAAAUCGAUGAAAUGAGAUCAUAGUCGAUUUUGGACAAUUUUUGCACAAUAUGGCUGAGCCGUUACCUUUUAAGAAAUUCAGUUUCUAUUUUUCAAUAGGCCGGACUUCAAAGGUUUUACACUAAGUUUUGCAACUUUGGUAAUGUAAUUCUUGGCUUGCGCUGUAACCCUUUCUAGAGAAAAACAGGGUUUCGCUUUCUCCAGCAGAGUAAUUCAAAUCCAAACCAUCAAAGACUUAGGGGGAUGAGAUCUUCGACGUUUUCUAUUUGCCAGGGGUAUGUAUGAUUUUUGCUUAGUGCAAAUUCUUUAAUUUUCUUUGUUAAAUUUACGCAAAGCUUGGGAUAAGUUUCCACAGGAAAGUGUGCGUAAUCCGAGCGAUCAGUUUACCAUCAGAUUUUGUAAGUGUGUGUGCUCCAGAAGAGGAAAUUUGGAUAUUUAGUAUUUUUAUAUUAUACACAGGUAUAUUGUGCAUCCAGAUGGAAAAUCUUAAUUAAAAAUUCUUACCCGUUAUUUUUCUGCAGUAAAAAACGUUCAUCAAAGAAUUUCGUACCCGACUAGGUACAUAUAUCCCAACACACAUAAUUUAUGUAACGGGAUAUGUAUAAUAUUUAUUUUAUCGAGUAAUAAUAGCUAAUGUACAGUAAUUUAAAUGUAAUAAAUUGAUACAUAUGUAAUUCUAUGAAUAUAAUUAAAUAUUGAAAACUCUGAAUAUACA